UGUUAUUGAAAUUAAAAAAAA
RNAcentral lists this non-coding RNA (21 nucleotides) under Caenorhabditis elegans. Lineage: Eukaryota; Metazoa; Nematoda; Chromadorea; Rhabditida; Rhabditidae. The record is from RNAcentral.